Molecule: ribosomal RNA, 592 nt
Filed under: uncultured bacterium
Lineage: Bacteria
Description: partial 16S ribosomal RNA
Rfam family: Bacterial small subunit ribosomal RNA
Source: RNAcentral
GUGCCAGCAGCCGCGGUAAUACGGGGGGGGCAAGCGUUAUCCGGAUUUGCUGGGUGUAAAGGGAGCGUAGACGGCAGUGCAAGUCUGGAGUGAAGGGGGGGGGCUCCCCCCCCGGACUGCUCUGGAAACUGUACGGCUGGAGUGCAGGAGAGGUAAGUGUAAUUCCUAGUGUAGCGGUGAAAUGCGUAAAUAUUAGGAGGAACACCAGUGGCGAAGGCGGCUUACUGGACUGUAACUGACGUUGAGGCUCGAAAGCGUGGGGAGCAAACAGGAUUAAAUCCCCUGGUACUCCCCGCCGUAAACGAUGAUCACUAGGUGUGGGGGGUAAAAGAACCUUCGGUGCCGCACCCAACGCAGUAAGUGACCCACCUGGGGAGUACGUUCGCAAGAAUGAAACUCAAAGGAAUUGACGGGGACCCGCACAAGCGGUGGAGCUUGUGGUUUAAUUCAAAGCAACGCAAAAAACCUUACCAGGCCUUGACAUCCCCCUGGGUGGGUGGUAACGCAUCCAGCCUUUCGGGGCAGGGGAGACAGGUGGUGCAUGGUUUGUCUUCAACUCGUGACAAGAUAUGUUUGGGUUAAUUCCCGCAAC